UGUUUGAAAGCGAAAUAUUGCACUAAGUUUCGGCCUUAGCCAUGGAAUUCAUAUUCCUCAAA
RNAcentral lists this transfer RNA (62 nucleotides) under Doriprismatica atromarginata. RNAcentral's name for it is "tRNA-Arg". The record is from RNAcentral. Lineage: Eukaryota; Metazoa; Mollusca; Gastropoda; Nudibranchia; Chromodorididae.